UACGGAGGGUGCAAACGUUGCUCGGAAUCAUUGGGCGUAAAGCGCACGUAGGCGGGUCAUCAAGUCGGAUGUGAAAUCCCUCGGCUUAACCGAGGACGUGCAUUCGAAACUGAUGGUCUUGAGUACGACAGAGGAUCGCGGAAUUCCCGGUGUAGAGGUGAAAUUCGUAGAUAUCGGGAGGAACACCAGUGGCGAAGGCGGCGGUCUGGGUCGAUACUGACGCUGAGGUGCGAAAGCGUGGGGAGCAAACAGG
RNAcentral lists this unclassified non-coding RNA (253 nucleotides) under uncultured Kofleriaceae bacterium. RNAcentral's name for it is "contains 16S-23S intergenic spacer region". It matches the Rfam family "Bacterial small subunit ribosomal RNA", at positions 524 to 776 of the family's 1533-position model. Lineage: Bacteria; Pseudomonadati; Myxococcota; Haliangiales; Kofleriaceae. The record is from RNAcentral.